This 78-nucleotide transfer RNA is filed under the name Mesorhizobium sp. USDA-HM6. RNAcentral describes it as "tRNA-Met". It matches the Rfam family "tRNA". Rfam says of the family: Transfer RNA (tRNA) molecules are approximately 80 nucleotides in length. Their secondary structure includes four short double-helical elements and three loops (D, anti-codon, and T loops). Lineage: Bacteria; Pseudomonadati; Pseudomonadota; Alphaproteobacteria; Hyphomicrobiales; Phyllobacteriaceae. The record is from RNAcentral. RNAcentral also lists the same sequence under 3 other names.
CCACGGAUAGCUCAGGUUGGGUAGAGCAUCAGACUCAUAAUCUGACGGUCGAAGGUUCGAAUCCUUCUCCAUUGGCCU